This 1365-nucleotide ribosomal RNA is filed under the name uncultured bacterium. RNAcentral describes it as "bacterial SSU rRNA". It matches the Rfam family "Bacterial small subunit ribosomal RNA", at positions 18 to 1390 of the family's 1533-position model. The record is from RNAcentral.
CCUGGCUCAGGAUGAACGCUGGCGGCGUGCCUAAUACAUGCAAGUCGAACGCUUCACUUCGGUGAAGAGUGGCGAACGGGUGAGUAAUACAUAAGUAACCUGGCAUCUACAGGGGGAUAACUGAUGGAAACGUCAGCUAAGACCGCAUAGGUGUAGAGAUCGCAUGAACUCUAUAUGAAAAGUGCUACGGGACUGGUAGAUGAUGGACUUAUGGCGCAUUAGCUUGUUGGUAGGGUAACGGCCUACCAAGGCGACGAUGCGUAGCCGACCUGAGAGGGUGACCGGCCACACUGGGACUGAGACACGGCCCAGACUCCUACGGGAGGCAGCAGUAGGGAAUUUUCGGCAAUGGGGGAAACCCUGACCGAGCAACGCCGCGUGAAGGAAGAAGUAAUUCGUUAUGUAAACUUCUGUCAUAGAGGAAGAACGGUGGAUAUAGGGAAUGAUAUCCAAGUGACGGUACUCUAUAAGAAAGCCACGGCUAACUACGUGCCAGCAGCCGCGGUAAUACGUAGGUGGCGAGCGUUAUCCGGAAUUAUUGGGCGUAAAGAGGGAGCAGGCGGCACUAAGGGUCUGUGGUGAAAGAUCGAAGCUUAACUUCGGUAAGCCAUGGAAACCGUAGAGCUAGAGUGUGUGAGAGGAUCGUGGAAUUCCAUGUGUAGCGGUGAAAUGCGUAGAUAUAUGGAGGAACACCAGUGGCGAAGGCGACGAUCUGGCGCAUAACUGACGCUCAGUCCCGAAAGCGUGGGGAGCAAAUAGGAUUAGAUACCCUAGUAGUCCACGCCGUAAACGAUGAGUACUAAGUGUUGGGGGUCAAACCUCAGUGCUGCAGUUAACGCAAUAAGUACUCCGCCUGAGUAGUACGUUCGCAAGAAUGAAACUCAAAGGAAUUGACGGGGGCCCCCACAAGCGGUGGAGCAUGUGGUUUAAUUCGAAGCAACGCGAAGAACCUUUCCAGGUCUUGACAUCGAUCUAAAGGCUCCAGAGAUGGAGAGAUAGCUAUAGAGAAGACAGGUGGUGCAUGGUUGUUGUCAGCUCGUGUCGUGAGAUGUUGGGUUAAGUCCCGCAACGAGCGCAACCCCUGUUGCCAGUUGCCAGCAUUAAGUUGGGGACUCUGGCGAGACUGCCGGUGACAAGCCGGAGGAAGGCGGGGAUGACGUCAAAUCAUCAUGCCCCUUAUGACCUGGGCUACACACGUGCUACAAUGGACAGAGCAGAGGGAAGCGAAGCCGCGAGGUGGAGCGAAACCCAUAAAACUGUUCUCAGUUCGGACUGCAGUCUGCAACUCGACUGCACGAAGAUGGAAUCGCUAGUAAUCGCGAAUCAGCAUGUCGCGGUGAAUACGUUCUCGGGCCUUGCACACAC